GAUGAACGCUGGCGGCGUGCCUAAUACAUGCAAGUCGAGCGAACGGACGAGAAGCUUGCUUCUCUGAUGUUAGCGGCGGACGGGUGAGUAACACGUGGAUAACCUACCUAUAAGACUGGGAUAACUUCGGGAAACCGGAGCUAAUACCGGAUAAUAUUUUGAACCGCAUGGUUCAAAAGUGAAAGACGGUCUUGCUGUCACUUAUAGAUGGAUCCGCGCUGCAUUAGCUAGUUGGUAAGGUAACGGCUUACCAAGGCAACGAUGCAUAGCCGACCUGAGAGGGUGAUCGGCCACACUGGAACUGAGACACGGUCCAGACUCCUACGGGAGGCAGCAGUAGGGAAUCUUCCGCAAAGGGCGAAAGCCUGACGGAGCAACGCCGCGUGAGUGAUGAAGGCCUUCGGAUCGUAAAACUCUGUUAUUAGGGAAGAACAUAUGUGUAAGUAACUGUGCACAUCUUGACGGUACCUAAUCAGAAAGCCACGGCUAACUACGUG
Molecule: ribosomal RNA, 497 nt
Filed under: uncultured bacterium
Lineage: Bacteria
Description: partial 16S ribosomal RNA
Rfam family: Bacterial small subunit ribosomal RNA
Source: RNAcentral